GCUGGAGGGGGGCCUCUGCAGGUAAGGUGCAGGAAUAAAGUCUGGGGUGAAGUCACAGGCUGCAAGAGGAGAUACAAGUUCAGGCAGGACAGAGCCAGGGGCCUCCAUCUCUAGAGAUCAAACUACAUUUGGGGGGUUGGCCCCUCUGAAGGCCAGAGCUGGCUUUGUAUGCCUACUGGAGGGUAUGGGAUGAGGGACAAAGGAGCCCAGGACCCAGGAGAAUGUGCCUGUCCUUCUCAGGGCUCCAGCACCAAAGGACUUGGAGUCCACACACGCUUCUCAGGGUUCUUCUGUCAGUUCCUGUCCUGAUUCUUCCCCUCCCUGAGAAGCACAUGCCCAGGGCUGGCUGGUCCCAGAAGAUGAGAGACAUGCAGAGCUGACCUGAACAGAACUUGUGGUCUGAAGCCACACCUAGCUGUACGCAAGCAGCAGGGCCCAGAUCACACAGCUGCCCCAGCAAACCUGCAGGUGCACGUGCGAGGAAGCAUGACUGCUGUUUAUGUGACUGUACUGGGGAAGGUGAGCAGCACCACCACGGCCAACUGACCGACACACAGCUUAAGCGAUGAGCAUCGGCCUCCAGGCAGCAAAGGCAAGAAGAAAUGUGGAGGGACUACAAUGUUCUGAGCAGAAGAGCCAAUUUUGUCUUCCUGGUCUAUCCAACUUGGGUGUGUGUGUGAAACUUUCCACAAUACCAAGUCUCUAAGGUUGAAUCACAUCUGUAUGAAUUCAACAAUUAUUUGCUGAUCCCGCAUGCUGUGUCCAGCUCCUUGCUAAGAACUCAUCAACCAGAUGAAGAGAAUGGAGGCCAGUGACAGAUCAUACACAUGUGGACAAUGACAGAUGAGAUGGACAUUGAUUUUUAUGUGCCUGUUAGAUGUACCGAAGCCUUUCCUGCUGCAAACAUCUCAGAGCUGAGUCCUCGCACUCCACAGGCUGGACCUCAAGCACCAUGAGAGCAGGGCCUUGCUCACUACUGAGCACAGCCUGACCCAGCCUACAUGAAUAUUUGUGGGACAAAGGAGGGCAGCGAAGGGGGCAGCAAUCACUGUAUUCCAUAAGUGAGGCAUGGAGAAAGUCAGUGAUUAUUCCUACUAAAGGAUAACUGUGUGCUGUUAUUUGUAUAUGGAGGUAUGGUCAUUGGUCUCCUGUCAACGGGUCAAUGGCCAAGCUCUUUCCCAUAAAAGUGAUGGGUUUUCUCAAACUGUCCCAUCUGAUUAUGUCAUUUCCUUCAUGAACUUAUGUGACCAGUGCCAUUCCUCUCCCAGGCCUUUGAUCAGGAACAACUACCUACAUGACUAAAUGUUCUCCAUUCAUUUCUCAUUCCCGUAAAAAAAAAAAAAAAAGGAAAAGAAAAAGAAAUCCUCGAGGAUCUACCAAGAGUAAGGCCAGGUCUCCAUUCUCUAGGAGCAUUUGGAGAAAGGAGGCCCAGGAUGGCACCUUUGGAGGGCAGGUAAGAUUGCAGAGGAGGAGGGUUGGAGAAGGAAGGGUCACCAACCCAACAUUAGAGGGAUCCUACCCAUCCCCUUAGCCUCCUUCUUGUCAUUCCACAUCCUAUCUGGGCACACUUAGCAAAGGCCAUUUCAGGGCUCCAUGCAUGCAAAGUGACUUUAAGACAUCUAACCUCCCCAUCCUUCGCCUCUGAAGCCACAUGUGGCUGAACCACGUAAUGGCUGGAGUCCAGCAGGGGUCCAGCAGUGGGGUUGGAGUCCCAGCUUCCUCGUAGUAUGACCAGAACAUGUCCUUUAACUUUCCCACCUGUCUUGGGUGCCCAGCACAUAACAUUCAAUACAUGUGAGCUGCUAUUAAAAACAUGGGUAAUUUUAUAUCUUAAAAUAUUCCAUAUUGCUUAAAUGGUUUCAUGCUGGCUCACAUUAAAAAUGAUUCCCAAGUGAAGAUGACAAAGGGGAAAUAUUCCUUAUUUAGUUCUUUUCUUACA
This is a long non-coding RNA of Mirounga angustirostris (Northern elephant seal), 1939 nucleotides long. RefSeq lists it as uncharacterized. Lineage: Eukaryota; Metazoa; Chordata; Mammalia; Carnivora; Phocidae. The record is from RefSeq and is a predicted model, not a curated record. The transcript has 3 exons.